AUAUAAUAGGAGAGUUUCUCUCCUCCUGAGCCGACACGUCAGCAUUUUGGUGGGUCCCACUUUUAAAAAGUGUGAAAAAAUGUCAAGUCUGUGGUUCGAACCCGGAUUAUUGAGAUAUAAGCUACAACAUUUAUACCACUAAACUAAAGGAUACUUUGUACAUUGAUGGCCGAAACUACUAUAUAUUUAUGAAGGUCGGAAACCUUUGCUUCUUCGGUUUUCUCUGUGGGUCAGGCCUACAAAUGUAUUAUGAGUUUCAUUUUUAAAUGAGGUUCAUCACGUUAUAUGAAAAAAAAACAAUUAUAGUUUUCCAUAUUAUAAACUGUCUUCGUUUAACAUGAGUUAUGGUUCUUUUCAUUAUCUAUGCGUCAGAUUUACGCCUUCAGCAAGUUGUGAGACCCACGUUCAAUUUAGUUUGGUGAUUUAUUUCUCACGUUCAAUUUAGUUUGGUGAUAACUACAAAUUCUGAUGCCUGAGAGGGUAUUUUUACUUAGAGGAAGCUCAGAAACAAGAGUUUCUGCAGAAGAGUUUGGUUUCUUGAAAGAGACAUGUGACAGAUACGGUGAACACGGUCCAGUGCUACAUUUCAGGUGUAUCGAUUGUUUCAAAAUGUUACCUUUGGCAUAUGUACUAUCAGAUAGUGUCUACACAAUUCAUGGAGGCCUCUUUCAAAGCUCCUCUCGGGUCCAUGCAGAUAGCACUUUAUUGUUGGGUUCAUUAGAAGAACUUGACAAGGUUGACAUGAGACAAGUUGGUGAGAAUGAUGAUGGGAAUAUAACUCUUAACCAUGUUUUAUGGUCGUGUCUGUGGAUGGCUGAUGGUCUGAGCGAAAGUAAUUAUAAGGAACUUCUUUAGGGAGCUGAUUGCACUGAGAGUUUUCUAAAACAAUCGAACUUAAAAGAUGAUUAUAAGAUCACAUGAAGGCCCUGAUGCAAGAUCAAAUCGAGAAUACAUGGAAAACAUGCUAUGCGGAUACUCAGUAGAUUAUGGAGUAGAAUCUGGAGAGCUUUAUACAAUCUUCAGUGCUUCACAUCUCUCACAAGUCACUUCCCUUAAACAAAGAGAAUCCGAAUGCAACCUGUUCUACUGCUUUUCUAACUGUCUAUAUUCACUCCACAUCUUCCACAUGAAUUUUUAUUAUUACUCUUCUUAACUACUACUAAAGAUGAAUACUUUCUCAACAGAUUCUCUUUUCUAUUGUUUCAGUUAUCAUCGUCUGACUACUAUAAAUGUGUGGCUUACAACGCCUGCAGCCCUCAUAACAAUUCCCUAAACAGAUCUGUAUUCUCAUUUGCUCUUCCUCACUGUAUUUUUUUUUUUAAUUCCUUCCUCAUUAUUUUCAACUCGAGGUUGAGAACUUCUGUUUCUUGAGAUCAAAAUCAGCAAUGUUCUUAUUGGCAUGGUUAAUACUGGAGUUGUUAGGUGCACUGUCUAUGAUGAAUCUUACCAAAUGGAGAAAAUAUUAGAUUUUUUCGGCAAGAACAUGUUUUCGUUGAUCCAAAAUUGAUCGAAAACAAUAUUGUUUGGAUUACUCUAGCACUCUAAAGCUUCCGCUACAAGCAAUUGUGACUACAACACCAUCCUCACUUGCAAGGACCUCAACAUCACUUUUGACGAUUACUUUGUAGCGAAGGAUUUCAAUUUCAAGCCUUUGGUUCAGAACCCACCUCAAGCUAAGAAGUACAAAAACUUCAUGGAAAAUUGCUCGAGGGGAACAACCUUGACUUUCAUUACGUAAAGCAACACUUCCAUCAACGACCCCGCGCUUGCGCGGGGUAUACGCACCUAGUUCAAACAUAAUAAAUUGGUGUGCAUGCAUGUUUUAAUUGUAUAGAGUAAAAAACAGUAAUGAUUCAUGUUUAGUAUGCAUGACUAUGUUAUGUAUGUUAGUUGUAAAUGAUUAAAAAAGUAAUGUAGUUAAAGCAAUACUCAAUAGAAUUUUUUUUUUUUUUUUUUUUUUGAAACACUCAAUACUCAAUAGAUUAAAUUUGAAUUUAUGG
Long non-coding RNA from Brassica napus (rape), 2000 nucleotides. RefSeq lists it as uncharacterized. The record is from RefSeq and is a predicted model, not a curated record. The transcript has 4 exons. NCBI's taxonomy places the organism in Eukaryota, Viridiplantae, Streptophyta, Magnoliopsida, Brassicales, Brassicaceae.